Ribosomal RNA from Fukomys damarensis (Damara mole-rat), 121 nucleotides. Lineage: Eukaryota; Metazoa; Chordata; Mammalia; Rodentia; Bathyergidae. The record is from Ensembl.
GUCUAUGGCCACACCACCCUGAAUGCGCCUGAUCUCAUCUGAUCUGGGGAGCUAAGCAGGGUCGGGCCUGGUUAGUACUUGGAUAGGAGGAGUCUAAUAAUAAGAAAGAUGCCACUGGAUC